RNAcentral lists this ribosomal RNA (253 nucleotides) under uncultured bacterium. Its description in RNAcentral is "partial 16S ribosomal RNA". It matches the Rfam family "Bacterial small subunit ribosomal RNA", at positions 524 to 776 of the family's 1533-position model. The record is from RNAcentral.
GACGAACCGUGCGAACGUUAUUCGGAAUCACUGGGCUUAAAGCGCGUGUAGGUGGGCGGCACGUCGGUCGCUGAAAUCCCCCGCUUAACCGGGGAACGGGCGCCGAUACGACCGCCCUUGAGGGGCGUAGGGGGGGCUGGGAACUUCCGGUGGAGCGGUGAAAUGCGUUGAGAUCGGAAGGAACGCCCGUGGCGAAAGCGAGCCCCUGGACGUCUCGUGACACUGAGACGCGAAAGCCAGGGGAGCGAACGGG